UCUAGGCUAAUAUGACCACGAGACCGAUAGCGAACAAGUACCGUGAGGGAAAGUUGAAAAGCACUUUGAAGAGAGAGUUCAAGAGUACGUGAAACCGUUUAGGGGUAAACCUGAGAAACCCGAAAGGUCGAAGGAAGAAAUUCAUUCGCGUUUCGUCGCAGGCGACGAGCGGGAUCGUGUGACGGGAAGCGNUCGCGCGUUUCCCGCGCCUUCCGUUCUUCGAACCGGCGGCGAACGCGUGCACUUUUCUUCUGGUAGGACGUCGCGAUCCGUUGGGUGUCGGUCUACGGCUCGCGGUGGAGCCCGUUCGUCGUAUUUCCACGUACGUACGGACGGACCCGCGUGUCCCGGCCGACUCGCUCGACGGUAUACGAAAGGUUUAAGGCCGCUCUCUA
RNAcentral lists this ribosomal RNA (395 nucleotides) under Eumecops fasciculifer. RNAcentral's name for it is "partial 28S ribosomal RNA". It matches the Rfam family "Eukaryotic large subunit ribosomal RNA", at positions 310 to 633 of the family's 3401-position model. Lineage: Eukaryota; Metazoa; Arthropoda; Insecta; Coleoptera; Curculionidae. The record is from RNAcentral.